Long non-coding RNA from Equus caballus (horse), 3178 nucleotides. NCBI's taxonomy places the organism in Eukaryota, Metazoa, Chordata, Mammalia, Perissodactyla, Equidae. The record is from Ensembl.
AGCAGACAAAGGUUUCUGUCCACAUGGAGUUUACGUUCUCGUGGGAGAAUGUAGAAAAUGAACAAUGACAACAAAAGGUUCAAAGAGCGGCAAGAUGGCCGGCAGCAAACCCAGAAUGUACAGUCUCUCUGCUUCAACUCCAGCAGACAUGCUUGAUGACCUCUUUCUCAGAAGUCCCAAUCACAGAGAAGAGAGAGAGAAAAUAGGCCAAAAUAUUAAUAGGUACGUCUGGAUAAAGAGUUGUUUACCAUCCGUGCAACUUUCCCACAAGUUUAUUUUCAAAUAAAUACAUUUUAAGAAUGGAAAAGAAAAAAAAAAAGGCCCAACUAAAUUCCUGUUGCUCUCAUUGGGUCAUGUUCCUGUCCCUGAGGUGGUCACUAUGGCCAGGAGAAUUUGAUGCUUGGGUUGGCUGGAGCCCAGGAGACUUGUCCUACCUUAGACCCUGGGGUGGAGCCCUGACUGCAGCGUGUGGGAUGCGAACUGAGAGGAUGCUGGGCAAGAAAAACUGCAGAUGUCCACCCCAAGUGUGCUGAGGACCAAAUGAAAAAAUAUAAGGAAACUGACUUCAGAAAGUCCUGUUCGACUAUAAAUGAUGAUGACUGUUCGGUUAUGUUUCUCUCGUGACACGUAGCACUUUCUUCCUUCUCUCUACAGUCGUCUGGUUCAUGCUUUAUCUCCCCUACCACGCCCCGAGCAGCUAGAGAUUAGGGACUUUGCUCUAGUCGUCUCUGGAGCGCUCCACCACUUCUGACUGAGCACCUAGAUAAUAGGACAUAUCCAAUAAAUGAUUGUGGAAUAAGGGAAUGAACCUAAAAUCCAAAGCGUUCCCAGAAUUCUGUGAAUCCCUGGGCCAAACUCUCAGAAGACUGCGGAGAACUUUAACCUUUCCCUGGGGUCACAGAUAAGUCGGCUCUGGCGUUUUUCAUGGUGGAGGGCGGGGCAAGAUCAUUUCAGGAAGAGGUGCCCUUGCAUUGAUUUAUUGACCUGGCCAGGCGAAGACCAGACAGAGAAAAGAAAAGUCCUUCUGAUCCGUUUGUUUAUUCACCAUCUGCUUUGUUUUUCUCUCCCUGUCCUUGUUACAGAGAAGGGGGCUUCAGGAAGGCACAGACUGAAUGAAAGAACCUCCCAAAGGCACUGACAGGUGUGGGGUUCCCUCUUGAUCCUCGAGGCCUGAGCUUCCAGGAAGUUUUGAGUUUAAUUGAAAGAACUGCAUAUGAAUUCUAGUCGAAAAGCUGGAAGCUCGGCCCGGUGUCUGUUCUCCCCUCUCUCUGCGGUUGUGUUCAUUUCCUCAGAUUUCCUAUCUGAACAGAGUCUGGAGCUGCUGGGACCAACUGGAGUUUGGGAAACCGAGCGCGUAAAAGAGGGAAUACAGGACUCAGAUCACCUCUUGAAAUGGUCUGCAGGUAGCCCUGCUCCAGAGCUGUCCUGGAGCUGCUUUUUGGCUGAUUUGCAACAGAGACACUCACUCUUCAGCCACAAGUGUUAAGUAGAAAAGGCUAUGUGGCUUAAGAUACCUGUAGUCCAUCGGGCUGUGCAGACUCACUAGUUUUCAACCUGCCUUCUAUUAUGUUGUGGCAAUGAUGCUAUUCCAGGAACCUCCGCCCCCAGCAGGGCAGAAACAACAGGGACACCUUUUCAGGGAAGGAAAGUUACAUGAUUACAGGUAGCCACAGGCGCUCUGCCCAGGGACCUGCAGCAGCACGGUCUUAUAGAAAGGGCCUGGACUCGGAAGCCACACAAAGUUGCAAGUGAAUGACUGAUGCUAAUUUAUAAAGCCUGGGAACACAGCAAAGGAGUUCAGGAGAACUGAUCACAUUGGUGGCUAAUCACUGAUAUGCAGCUUGGCCGUGGCAAGGAUUGAAAUGAAAAUUGUGUGUCAGUCUUUGACAUUGAAACGGAUGACAGUAAUCAGCCCCAUGCAACAGAUCAUUUCAUUCAACUACGCAGACGCAUUUUGCAGCUAAUCCUUCUUGCGAGACUAUUACUAUGAAUCACACCUUUUUAGCUGUGUGGUCCAGAAUCUAAGUGUCUCAGAAGGUCCUGUGAGAGGGAAAGGUUUGCGCUGCCUGGCGGCACAGGGCAGACAUCUCGACUCUCACAUAUGCCCACUCUGUGGACUUGCUUUAAGCCUAUGGGCCGAGAUUGCAAACUGGCAGCCGGUGGACCGCACACAGCCUGUGGAUGUGUUCUAUUUGGCUCCACACUGUUUUGCUUUUAUUUUAUUUUUUGUUGAGGAAUAUUAACCCUGAGCUAACUGCUGCCAAUCCUCCUCUUUUUGCUGAGGAAGACUGGCCCUCAGCUAACAUUCAUGCCCAUCUUCUUCUACUUGACAUGUGGGACGCCUACCACAGCAUGGUUUGUCUAGCGGUGCCAUGUCCGCACCUGGGAUCCGAACUGGCGAACCCGGGCUGCCAAAGCGGAAGGUGCGUUCUUAACCGCUACGCCACCGGGCGGCCCCUGCUUUUAUUUUUUUUAAGUUGAAUUGGUUGCCCUAAUCUAAAGCUUCACAUGACCCAAGUUUCUGGCUUGUCUUGAAAAAGGGAAGAGCUGGCAACACUGACGCUGCGGUAACAUCAUGUGGGGCUGAGCGGAGAUGCUCGCUGGAGAUGGGACCACCGUUACCUACUGUCUCCCUCCCACUCAGUUCCAUUCACGUAUGGAAACUGCCUGGGCCCUGAAGGCGUUUGAGCUGGGGACUCUUGGCCUGUGAAGUCCCCUUUUGUCACUGGAAGAGAGCACAGCUGCUAGCGUUCUGUUCCUUUGGGCUCUCUAACCUCUCUUCCUCCACCAGCAAUGAUACCAGCAGGAAUCAGUGUUUGUGAUUCCUUCGGAUAUGUCUUCCCUGAGUUUAUAUUUAAUGCCACAGUUGAAGACAUGUGUCAUGUGACCAGUAGGUUCUCAUAUGAGGAUGAAGGGGAGGAAUCUGUCUUUGAAAUUUGCCUCUCUGCACCGUUUCUGGGUUCUUUGAAGUCCAGCGGCUUCUGUGUGUAUAGAGGAACACUCUCUGCGACCUCCAGUAUAACUGAUGCUCAAUUUCUCAAAUUUAUUUAUCUAAUAAAACUUAGAAAAUUAAAAUUUCUUAAACUACAUUUUUACGUUUAGGUCCUGACUACAAAUUAUAUUUCUUUUGGGUGAAAAUAACAGAAAGCCCUGACUGAAAAUGGCUUAACCGAGGAGG